Lepidothrix coronata (blue-crowned manakin) is the source of this 391-nucleotide long non-coding RNA. RefSeq lists it as uncharacterized. Lineage: Eukaryota; Metazoa; Chordata; Aves; Passeriformes; Pipridae. The transcript is spliced from 4 exons. The record is from RefSeq and is a predicted model, not a curated record.
CGUGUUAUUAUAAUGGUGCUUCCUUUGAGAGACCUUCUAGGCAAGGCUGUCAACAAUUGACUUCUCAGCUACCAGUGCAGCAUCCAGCUCAACCUCCAUCUUUGGGACAUUGGACAAGAAAAGUACAAAGCAGUGAUCAGCUUGCCAAUUGUUGACUCAAGCAAAGAACUGGGAUCAGCUAUUGUCUGCUGUUGCCUGCCUGCAGCUGAGGUGAAGACUUAUGCUUUUCACCAAAGACUGCUAUUUUAAGGGUUGUCAAAAGCACUGGGGAAGCGACAAAGGGUAACCUCACACUUCAGCUGUGGUGCCAGCACAGGAUGUCUGCUGGAUGCAGUGCUCCUUGGCAUCUGUGUGUGCAGGUGCCUUGGCAAAUAACAUCAUUUUGCCAGAG